Molecule: ribosomal RNA, 657 nt
Filed under: Triticum aestivum (bread wheat)
Lineage: Eukaryota; Viridiplantae; Streptophyta; Magnoliopsida; Poales; Poaceae
Description: partial small subunit ribosomal RNA
Source: RNAcentral
AUGGUCAUCACAUUAUGGUCUAUAUGGUUUGCGAGGAGAAAGGCUAUCUAUGAGUCUAUCUUUCAGAACCCCCAGGAAACGGCUUCUUUUAUAAAUAAUUACAUCGAUGAGCUUGUUCAUCUAGCAGUUGGACGAGUGCCCGAACACUUUGUACCUGCACCACCCCAACCAAAACGGUGGCUACCUCCUCCUACAAGCACUGCAAAAAUAAAUGUUGACGGGGCUGUGGUUCGCUCACGAAGAGGAGGAGCGGUUGCUUCCUUUUGCCGUGACCAGGAUGGGCACUAUCUGGGCUCCUCGGCGAUGGUUUACUAUGGCAUCACGGACCCCCUUACCCUGGAGACAUAUGCAUGCCGAGAAGCUCUUGCUCUGGCGGAUGACCUGGGACAGCAGAAGAUUCACGUGGCAUCGGACUGCCAAGAGGCGGUAAAUGACAUCAACAAGGGGACAGGAGGCCCCAAUGCUUCGUUGGUGCAUGAAUUAUUGAACCAUUGUAAUAGUUUCAUUACUUGCUCCUUUAUUUUCGAGCGUAGGAACUUCAACUUUGAAGCUCAUAAUCUCGCCAAAUUUGCUUGCAACUUAGAUAUAGGUAGACAUGUUUGGUUGGGCAAUCCACAUGACCCCGAUCUUGUACCUAUGACAAUUGCUUCUGAAUAA